Molecule: non-coding RNA, 224 nt
Filed under: Methylobacterium tarhaniae
Lineage: Bacteria; Pseudomonadati; Pseudomonadota; Alphaproteobacteria; Hyphomicrobiales; Methylobacteriaceae
Source: RNAcentral
CAUGGAUGAAGCCGUCAAGGUUCCCCGGGCGCGAGCCCGCGGGCGAAGAGGGAAUUCGGUGAGCCCGUCGGGUGCGGAGACAUCCGGGGCGAGGCCGAGGCUGCCCCCGCAACUGUGAGCGGAGAGUUCCCGCCGCCUUAGGCCACUGGUGCCCUCGCACCGGGAAGGCCAGGCGGGAGCGAUGAUCCGCGAGCCAGGAGACCUGCCUUGGCCCGCGCCGCGAG